GAUGAACGCUGGCGGCGUGCCUAAUACAUGCAAGUCGAGCGAACAGAUGAGGAGCUUGCUCCUCUGACGUUAGCGGCGGACGGGUGAGUAACACGUGGAUAACCUACCUAUAAGACUGGGAUAACUUCGGGAAACCGGAGCUAAUACCGGAUAAUAUAUUGAACCGCAUGGUUCAAUAGUGAAAGACGGUUUUGCUGUCACUUAUAGAUGGAUCCGCGCCGGAUUAGCUAGGUGGUAAGGUAACGGCCUACCAAGGCAACGAUGCGUAGCCGACCCGAGAGGGUGAUCCGCCACACUGGAACUGAGACACGGGCCCCACUCCCACGGGGGGGCGCAGUGGGGAAAUUUUGCCAAAGGGGGGAAACCCUGACCAGGCAACCCCGGUGGGUUGAGAAAGGCUUUGGGUUUGAAAACCUUUUUUUUUGGGAAAAAAAAAAGGAGGAAAAUACCCUGCUCUUCUUACGGUACCCUAAGAAAAAACCCCGGCUAACUUCGUG
This 497-nucleotide ribosomal RNA is filed under the name uncultured bacterium. Its description in RNAcentral is "partial 16S ribosomal RNA". It matches the Rfam family "Bacterial small subunit ribosomal RNA", at positions 28 to 507 of the family's 1533-position model. The record is from RNAcentral.